GUGGCUCAAUGGCAGAGCAUCUACUUUUCAUGGCCUGCAGAAGGUCUCCUGGUUCAACCCCUGGGCA
Molecule: transfer RNA, 67 nt
Filed under: Sphaerodactylus townsendi
Lineage: Eukaryota; Metazoa; Chordata; Lepidosauria; Squamata; Sphaerodactylidae
Description: tRNA-Glu
Source: RNAcentral